UACGAAGGGGGCUAGCGUUGCUCGGAAUCACUGGGCGUAAAGCGCACGUAGGCGGCUUUUAAGUCAGGGGUGAAAUCCUGGAGCUCAACUCCAGAACUGCCUUUGAUACUGAGAGCUUGAGUCCGGGAGAGGUGAGUGGAACUGCGAGUGUAGAGGUGAAAUUCGUAGAUAUUCGGCAAGAACACCAGUGGCGAAGGCGGCUCACUGGCCCGGUACUGACGCUGAGGUGCGAAAGCGUGGGGAG
RNAcentral lists this ribosomal RNA (244 nucleotides) under uncultured bacterium. RNAcentral describes it as "partial 16S ribosomal RNA". It matches the Rfam family "Bacterial small subunit ribosomal RNA", at positions 524 to 768 of the family's 1533-position model. The record is from RNAcentral.